AAACGAUAAAGAUAACUAAUCUUUGCUAUGUAAAAAUGAUUUCAUACUCCACAUUUAGGGGGUCCAAAAAUGUUGUCACAUGGGCACUGCAUAUUUAGGCCUAAUUAAACAUGCAUUUGGCGACGUUCAACUUCAAUUCACUGGUACUAUGAAGAAUAGCUGAGCCAUACUCACUGAUAGCCUAAUAUAUACUUGAAUACAGUUUUGGUGAAUUUACGAAGCAUUGUUAGAUACAGAUUCCCACGAUAUAGCCUACGUGUACGGUUCUCAUCCUCUCUCUCCAGCAAAAAAAGCUAGUGUUUGGUCUUCGGACUGUUGCUUGUAAAAUAGCUCAGUUUAGUCAUUGAUAUCCCCUACUUUAAUUAAUUUGCGCGAGAGAUUGCAAGCCAAGAAAUUUCGAAAAACAGCAUUGCGAUAGCCUAUAUUUCUGAUUACCGAUACACGAUUCUGUUGUGCUGCCUGGUGGCCGACAUACCUACCUAUGCCCCUCUAUCUCUCUUUCUUUGCUGUGAAAUGUUCUCGAAAUAGACUACGGAGAAUAGUUUCCUCCGUUGCAAAAAUACAGAAAUGUAGGAGUAGAUCGAAGCUUGACAUCCAGUAGUGGGAGUCGACGGACUCCACACCAUAUAGCAGUUUCCCGUGUGUAUCAAGAAUGGUCACCACCCAAAGGACAUCUAACCAAUUUGACAACUGUGGGAAGCAUUGGAGUCAACAUGGGCCUGCAUCCCUGUGGGACUCUUUUGGCACCUUGUAGAGCAUGCCCUGACAAAUUCAGGCUGUUCUGAGGGCAAAAGGAGGGCAUGAAACUCAAUAUUAGGAAGGUGUUCCUAAUGUGUGGUAUAUAUAAAACACAAGCAAAUCACAUUGACAACACCGGGCCUUUAAAGGGUACCUUAGUGAAGUGUUAUCACGCAUGGGAUGGCGGACUAACUAUGCCCAUGUCAAGGUAUUCCAAUAAACAGUUACACAAUGAUAAACGACACCAUGGUGUUGUCCCAAACCUUUAUUGCAGCCAUCGAACAGAACAUUUACAGCACGUGUCAAACUCAUUCCACGGAGGGCUGAGUGUCUGCGGGUUUUCGCUCCUCCCUGGGUGUCUAGGUCCUCAUUGAAAGAAAAAAAAAAAACUAAAACCUGCAGAUACUAGGUCCUGCAUGGAAUGAGUUCGACACCCCUGAUUUAUAGAAACUGUGUCAGCCGUCCAACUCUGCAUACAGAAUGCAUUUUCACAAACAUUUAAAAACCUGUUAGCCUAUACAGCUGUUUACCUCUAUGUAUAACAUGUUUUUGUGUGUAAACCCCUGUUCAUAUGUGAACUGCAAUAAAAAAUAAACACUGA
This is a long non-coding RNA of Oncorhynchus keta (chum salmon), 1339 nucleotides long. RefSeq lists it as uncharacterized. The transcript has 2 exons. Lineage: Eukaryota; Metazoa; Chordata; Actinopteri; Salmoniformes; Salmonidae. The record is from RefSeq and is a predicted model, not a curated record.